GACGAACGCUGGCGGCGUGCUUAACACAUGCAAGUCGAACGGAAAGGCCCUGCUUUUGUGGGGUGCUCGAGUGGCGAACAGGUGAGUAACACGUGAGUAACCUGCCCUUGGCUUUGGGAUAACUUCAGGAAACUGGGGCUAAUACCGGAUAGGAGCUCCUGCUGCAUGGUGGGGGUUGGAAAGUUUCGGCGGUUGGGGAUGGACUCGCGGCUUAUCAGCUUGUUGGUGGGGUAGUGGCUUACCAAGGCUUUGACGGGUAGCCGGCCUGAGAGGGUGACCGGCCACAUUGGGACUGAGAUACGGCCCAGACUCCUACGGGAGGCAGCAGUGGGGAAUAUUGCACAAUGGGCGGAAGCCUGAUGCAGCAACGCCGCGUGCGGGAUGACGGCCUUCGGGUUGUAAACCGCUUUCGCCUGUGACGAAGCGUGAGUGACGGUAAUGGGUAAAGAAGCACCGGCUAACUACGUGCCAGCAGCCGCGGUGAUACGUAGGGUGCGAGCGUUGUCCGGAUUUAUUGGGCGUAAAGGGCUCGUAGGUGGUUGAUCGCGUCGGAAGUGUAAUCUUGGGGCUUAACCCUGAGCGUGCUUUCGAUACGGGUUGACUUGAGGAAGGUAGGGGAGAAUGGAAUUCCUGGUGGAGCGGUGGAAUGCGCAGAUAUCAGGAGGAACACCAGUGGCGAAGGCGGUUCUCUGGGCCUUUCCUGACGCUGAGGAGCGAAAGCGUGGGGAGCGAACAGGCUUAGAUACCCUGGUAGUCCACGCUGUAAACGGUGGGUACUAGGUGUGGGGUCCAUUCCACGGGUUCCGUGCCGUAGCUAACGCUUUAAGUACCCCGCCUGGGGAGUACGGCCGCAAGGCUAAAACUCAAAGGAAUUGACGGGGCCCCGCACAAGCGGCGGAGCAUGCGGAUUAAUUCGAUGCAACGCGUAGAACCUUACCUGGGUUUGACAUGGAUCGGGAGUGCUCAGAGAUGGGUGUGCCUCUUUUGGGGUCGGUUCACAGGUGGUGCAUGGCUGUCGUCAGCUCGUGUCGUGAGAUGUUGGGUUAAGUCCCGCAACGAGCGCAACCCUUGUUCACUGUUGCCAGCACGUUAUGGUGGGGACUCAGUGGAGACCGCCGGGGUCAACUCGGAGGAAGGUGGGGAUGACGUCAAGUCAUCAUGCCCCUUAUGUCCAGGGCUUCACGCAUGCUACAAUGGCUGGUACAGAGAGUGGCGAGCCUGUGAGGGUGAGCGAAUCUCGGAAAGUCGGUCUCAGUUCGGAUUGGGGUCUGCAACUCGACCUCAUGAAGUCGGAGUCGCUAGUAAUCGCAGAUCAGCAACGCUGCGGUGAAUACGUUCCCGGGGCU
Molecule: ribosomal RNA, 1346 nt
Filed under: uncultured bacterium
Lineage: Bacteria
Description: partial 16S ribosomal RNA
Rfam family: Bacterial small subunit ribosomal RNA
Source: RNAcentral